AGCAGUCGCCACGGGAAUACAGAGGGUGCGAGCGUUAAUCGGAUUUACUGGGCGUAAAGCGUGCGUAGGCGGCUUUUUAAGUCGGAUGUGAAAUCCCUGAGCUUAACUUAGGAAUUGCAUUCGAUACUGGGAAGCUAGAGUAUGGGAGAGGAUGGUAGAAUUCCAGGUGUAGCGGUGAAAUGCGUAGAGAUCUGGAGGAAUACCGAUGGAGAAGGCAGCCAUCUGGCCUAAUACUGACGCUGAGGUACGAAAGCAUGGGGAGCAAACAGGAUUAGAUACCCGUGUAGUCCCUGUCUCUUAUAA
Molecule: ribosomal RNA, 303 nt
Filed under: uncultured bacterium
Lineage: Bacteria
Description: partial 16S ribosomal RNA
Rfam family: Bacterial small subunit ribosomal RNA
Source: RNAcentral